CAGGUAGUAGUGGGUGUAGCGUACCUACUAGCCUACGACGGGUACGGGUUGUGAGAGCAAGAGCCCGGAGAUGGAUUCUGAGACACGAAUCCAGGCCCUACGGGGUGCAGCAGGCGCGAAAACUUUACAAUGCCGGCAACGGCGAUAAGGGGACCUCGAGUGCCAGGUUACAAAUCUGGCUGUCGUGAUGCCUAAAAAGCAUUGCAUAGCAAGGGCCGGGCAAGACCGGUGCCAGCCGCCGCGGUAACACCGGCGGCUCGAGUGGUAACCGUUAUUAUUGGGUCUAAAGGGUCUGUAGCCGGCCGGAUAAGUCUCUUGAGAAAUCCAGCAGCUCAACUGUUGGGCUUUCAGGAGAUACUGUCUGGCUCGAGGCCGGGAGAGGUGAGAGGUACUUCAGGGGUAGGGGUGAAAUCUUGUAAUCCUUGAAGGACCACCAGUGGCGAAGGCGUCUCACCAGAACGGACCUGACGGCAAGGGACGAAAGCUAGGGGCACGAACCGGAUUAGAUACCCGGGUAGUCCUAGCCGUAAACGAUACUCGCUAGGUGUCGGCCACGGUGCGACCGUUGUCGGUGCCGUAGGGAAGCCGUGAAGCGAGCCACCUGGGAAGUACGGCCGCAAGGCUGAAACUUAAAGGAAUUGGCGGGGGAGCACA
RNAcentral lists this ribosomal RNA (654 nucleotides) under uncultured archaeon. Its description in RNAcentral is "bacterial SSU rRNA". It matches the Rfam family "Archaeal small subunit ribosomal RNA", at positions 226 to 880 of the family's 1478-position model. The record is from RNAcentral.